This 300-nucleotide ribosomal RNA is filed under the name uncultured Pseudoalteromonas sp. RNAcentral's name for it is "bacterial SSU rRNA". It matches the Rfam family "Bacterial small subunit ribosomal RNA", at positions 114 to 425 of the family's 1533-position model. The record is from RNAcentral. Lineage: Bacteria; Pseudomonadati; Pseudomonadota; Gammaproteobacteria; Alteromonadales; Pseudoalteromonadaceae.
UGCUUGGGAAUAUGCCUUGAGGUGGGGGACAACCAUUGGAAACGAUGGCUAAUACCGCAUAAUGUCUACGGACCAAAGGGGGCUUCGGCUCUCGCCCUUAGAUUAGCCCAAGUGGGAUUAGCUAGUUGGUGAGGUAAUGGCUCACCAAGGCAACGAUCUCUAGCUGGUUUGAGAGGAUGAUCAGCCACACUGGAACUGAGACACGGUCCAGACUCCUACGGGAGGCAGCAGUGGGGAAUAUUGCACAAUGGGCGCAAGCCUGAUGCAGCCAUGCCGCGUGUGUGAAGAAGGCCUCGGUUG